GACGAACGCUGGCGGCGUGCUUAACACAUGCAAGUCGAACGGUGAAGCGCCUUCCUUUUUGGUGGGUGUGGAUGAGUGGCGAACGGGUGAGUAACACGUGAGUAACCUGCCCCCUUCUUCUGGAUAACCGCAUGAAAGUGUGGCUAAUACGGGAUAUUCUGUGUCUGUCGCAUGAUGGGUCUGGGAAAGAUAUUGUUUCGGUGGUGGAUGGGCUCGCGGCCUAUCAGCUUGUUGGUGGGGUGAUGGCCUACCAAGGCGGUGACGGGUAGCCGGCCUGAGAGGGUGGACGGUCACACUGGGACUGAGACACGGCCCAGACUACUACGGGAGGCAGCAGUGGGGAAUAUUGCACAAUGGGCGCAAGCCUGAUGCAGCGACGCCGCGUGAGGGAUGGAGGCCUUCGGGUUGUGAACCUCUUUCGCCAGUGAAGCAGGCCUGCCUCGUUUGUGGGUGGGUUGACGGUAGCUGGAUAAGAAGCGCCGGCUAACUACGUG
Molecule: ribosomal RNA, 494 nt
Filed under: uncultured bacterium
Lineage: Bacteria
Description: partial 16S ribosomal RNA
Rfam family: Bacterial small subunit ribosomal RNA
Source: RNAcentral